GAUGAACGCUGGCGGCGUGCCUAAUACAUGCAAGUCGAGCGAACGGACGAGAAUCUUGCUUCUCUGUUGUUAGCGGCGGACGUGUGAGUAACACGUGUAUAACCUACCUAUAAUACUGGGAUCACUUCGGGAAACCGUAGCUAAUACCGUAUAAUAUUUUGAACCGCAUGGUUCAAUAGUGAAAGACGGUCUUUCUGUCACUCAUAGAUGGAUCCGCGCUGCAUUAGCUAGUUGGUACGGUAACGGCUUACCAAGGCAACGAUGCAUAGCCGACCUGAGAGAGUGAUAGGCGACACUGGAGCUGAGACACGGUCCAGACGCCUAAGGGAGGCAGCAGUAGGGAAUGUGCCGCAAUGGGCGAAAGCCUGACGGAGCAACGCCGCGUGAGUGAUGAAGGUCUUCGGAUCGUAAAGACCUGUUAUUAGGGAAGAACAUAUGUGUAAGUAAAUGUGCACAUCUUGACGGUACCUAAUCAGAAAGCCACGGCUAACUACGUG
RNAcentral lists this ribosomal RNA (497 nucleotides) under uncultured bacterium. RNAcentral's name for it is "partial 16S ribosomal RNA". It matches the Rfam family "Bacterial small subunit ribosomal RNA", at positions 28 to 507 of the family's 1533-position model. The record is from RNAcentral.